GUAAGCAGAACUGGCGAUGCGGGAU
RNAcentral lists this non-coding RNA (25 nucleotides) under Arabidopsis thaliana (thale cress). Lineage: Eukaryota; Viridiplantae; Streptophyta; Magnoliopsida; Brassicales; Brassicaceae. RNAcentral also lists the same sequence under 3 other names. The record is from RNAcentral.